CACGUUGAAACACCAAUUCCCGUACGAUCACAGAAGUUAAGCAACGUUAAGCCUGGUCAAUACAUAGAUGGAUGACCGCUUGGGAAUACCAGGUAUUGUAAG
Molecule: non-coding RNA, 102 nt
Organism: Acanthosepion pharaonis
Lineage: Eukaryota; Metazoa; Mollusca; Cephalopoda; Sepiida; Sepiidae
Source: the annotation of a GenBank genome assembly